This is a non-coding RNA of Ciona savignyi (Pacific transparent sea squirt), 73 nucleotides long. The record is from Rfam. NCBI's taxonomy places the organism in Eukaryota, Metazoa, Chordata, Ascidiacea, Phlebobranchia, Cionidae.
GGGGGUGUAGCUCAGAUGGUAGAGCGCGCGCUUAGCAUGCGCGAGGUACCGGAAUCGAUACCCGGCACCUCCA